GUGUCAGCAGCCGCGGUAAUACGAAGGGGGCUAGCGUUGCUCGGAAUUACUGGGCGUAAAGGGCGCGUAGGCGGACAGUUAAGUUGGGGGUGAAAGCCCGGGGCUCAACCUCGGAACUGCCUUCAAUACUGGCUGUCUUGAGUACGGGAGAGGUGUGUGGAACUCCGAGUGUAGAGGUGAAAUUCGUAGAUAUUCGGAAGAACACCAGUGGCGAAGGCGACACACUGGCCCGUUACUGACGCUGAGGCGCGAAAGCGUGGGGAGCAAACAGGAUUAGAAACCCGUGUAGUCC
RNAcentral lists this ribosomal RNA (292 nucleotides) under uncultured bacterium. RNAcentral describes it as "partial 16S ribosomal RNA". It matches the Rfam family "Bacterial small subunit ribosomal RNA", at positions 505 to 796 of the family's 1533-position model. The record is from RNAcentral.